This 294-nucleotide long non-coding RNA is filed under the name Junco hyemalis (dark-eyed junco). RNAcentral's name for it is "lncRNA (ENSJHYG00000012576.1)". The record is from RNAcentral. Lineage: Eukaryota; Metazoa; Chordata; Aves; Passeriformes; Passerellidae.
UGGCUUUCUACAGCUCUGCAUCUGAGUAAUUUCCAUUCGUCCAUGCUCUCACAUGUAUCAUAGGCUAAAUCGGGAAAGAUCUGAGUAGGAUAUGGGACAUUCAGGAUGGAGGUAUUUCCAGGAGGAAACAGGUAUCUGAGACCCAAUCACUGCAGGACACCACAGCACAGAGCUUUAUUGGCUGCUGAGUGAACCGAGCUCCCACAACACCUUCCUUCCCAAGAGAUCCCACAAAACAGGUGACAGCACAACAGGAGGACACCCUCAACCCCAGGACUGAGCUGCCAGGUCAAG